Molecule: ribosomal RNA, 253 nt
Filed under: uncultured bacterium
Lineage: Bacteria
Description: partial 16S ribosomal RNA
Rfam family: Bacterial small subunit ribosomal RNA
Source: RNAcentral
UACGUAGGGUGCAAGCGUUGUCCGGAAUUAUUGGGCGUAAAGAGCUCGUAGGCGGUUUGUUGCGUCGGCUGUGAAAACCUGCAGCUCAACUGCAGGCUUGCGGUCGAUACGGGCAGGCUCGAGUUCGGUAGGGGAGACUGGAAUUCCCGGUGUAGCGGUGAAAUGCGUAGAUAUCGGGAGGAACAUCAAUUGCGAAGGCGACCACCUGGCUCUACACUGACGCUGAGGUGCGAAAGCGUGGGUAGCAAACAGG